AACGAACGCUGGCGGCAGGCUUAACACAUGCAAGUCGAACGCACCUUUCGGGGUGAGUGGCAGACGGGUGAGUAACGCGUGGGAAUCUACCCUUCUAUACGGGAUAGCUCCGGGAAACUGGUAUUCAUACCGUUUACGUCCUGAGGGCGAAAGAUUUAUCGGGGUAGGAUGAGCCCGCGUUGGAUUCGCUCGUUGGAGGGGUAAAGGCCUACCACGGCGACGAUCCAUAGCUGGUCUAAGAGGAUGAUCCGCCACAUUGGGACUACGCCACGGCCCAAACUCCUACGGGAGGCAGCAGUGCGGAAUAUUGGACAACGGCCGCAAGCCUGAUCCAGCCAUGCCGCGUGAGUGAUGAAGGCCCUAGGGUUGUAAAGCUCUUUCAGCGUGGACGAUAAUGACGGUACCCACAGAAGAAGCCCCGGCUAACUUCGUG
This 433-nucleotide ribosomal RNA is filed under the name uncultured bacterium. RNAcentral describes it as "partial 16S ribosomal RNA". It matches the Rfam family "Bacterial small subunit ribosomal RNA", at positions 29 to 507 of the family's 1533-position model. The record is from RNAcentral.